UACGUAGGGUGCAAGCGUUGUCCGGAAUUAUUGGGCGUAAAGGGCUCGUAGGCGGUCCGUCACGUCGGGAGUGAAAACUUGGGGCUUAACCCCAAGCCUGCUUCCGAUACGGGCGGACUAGAGGUAGGCAGGGGAGAACGGAAUUCUCGGUGUAGCAGUGAAAUGCGUAGAGAUCGAGAGGAACACCAGUGGCGAAGGCGAGUUCCUGGACAAGUCCUGACGCUGAGGCACGAAAGCCAGGGGAGCAAACAGG
RNAcentral lists this ribosomal RNA (253 nucleotides) under uncultured bacterium. RNAcentral describes it as "partial 16S ribosomal RNA". It matches the Rfam family "Bacterial small subunit ribosomal RNA", at positions 524 to 776 of the family's 1533-position model. The record is from RNAcentral.